CCUACGGGAGACAGCAGUGAGGAAUAUUGGUCAAUGGACGCAAGUCUGAACCCGCCAUGCCGCGUGCAGGAAGCCGGCUCUAUGAGUUGUAAACUGCUUUUGUACGAGGGUAAACGCAGAUACGCGUAUCUGUCUGCAAGUCUCGUACGAAUAAGGAUCGGUUACCUCUGUGCCAGCAGCCGCGGUAAUACGGAGAAUUCAAGCGUUAUCCGGAUUUAUUGGGUUUAAAGGGUGCGUAGGCGGGCGGAUAAGUUAGAGGUGAAAUCCAGAGGCGCAACUUCGGAAGUGCCUCUGAUACUGUGCGGCUACAGAGUAGUUGCGUGAGGCGGAAUGUAUGGUGUAGCGGUGAAAUGCUUAGAGAUCAUACAGAACACCGAUUGCGAAGGCAGCUUACCAAGCUACUUCUGACGUUGAGGCACGAAAGCGUGGGGAGCAAACAGGAUUAGAUACCCGUGUAGUC
This 460-nucleotide ribosomal RNA is filed under the name uncultured bacterium. RNAcentral describes it as "partial 16S ribosomal RNA". It matches the Rfam family "Bacterial small subunit ribosomal RNA", at positions 338 to 795 of the family's 1533-position model. The record is from RNAcentral.